Molecule: unclassified non-coding RNA, 587 nt
Filed under: Hevea brasiliensis (rubber tree)
Lineage: Eukaryota; Viridiplantae; Streptophyta; Magnoliopsida; Malpighiales; Euphorbiaceae
Source: RNAcentral
UCUCCUCCUCUUUUCAACAAUUUGUUCACGCUCUUGCUGCCUCAACCUUUCACUUUCUUCUCGUGCUCUUUGCUCAGCUCUUAACAAAGCAUUUGACCUUUGCUUAUAUGCCUCUGUCCCUGAAAGUUUCAUAUCUUCUUUUCUGAAUUUCUCCAAAGUACCCAAAAGUUGCCCCAACAUUCUUUUAUUUCUGCUAACCAAGCUUGGAUCCUCAUCCUUUGGCAACACCCGUGGCACAGGCUCAGCCACUGGAAGUUCAGCCUCCCUCUUUCCUGGUCUCUGAUUGCCAUCCCUCCUAGACCAACCACUCUGCUGUAGAAUGGCUGGUUUUCCAUCACUUUGAUCCUCUAUGGCCGCUCCAACAUCUUCCUCCUCAGCGGAUUGCUUAUUCUUCAAAUCCGUUGAUACUGUAGGGUCCUCAACAAUCUCUCCAUCCCAUCCCCCCCACCCCCCCCCUUGACAACACCAGAAAAAAGCCGCCGUUUUGCAGGAGGUUGAUCUUCUGCAUCGUUCCUAUCAGCGGGUCGAACAACGCCUCGCUGGCGAACCCCAUUGGCUGCAAAGUUCCGAGGACCAGCACCAGACAA